UGGGGAAUUUUCCGCAAUGGGCGAAAGCCUGAUCCAGCCAUGCCGCGUGUGUGAAGAAGGUCUUCGGAUUGUAAAGCACUUUAAGUUGGGAGGAAGGGCAUUAACCUAAUACGUUAGUGUUUUGACGUUACCGACAGAAUAAGCACCGGCUAACUCUGUGCCAGCAGCCGCGGUAAUACAGAGGGUGCAAGCGUUAAUCGGAAUUACUGGGCGUAAAGCGCGCGUAGGUGGUUUGUUAAGUUGGAUGUGAAAUCCCCGGGCUCAACCUGGGAACUGCAUUCAAAACUGACUGACUAGAGUAUGGUAGAGGGUGGUGGAAUUUCCUGUGUAGCGGUGAAAUGCGUAGAUAUAGGAAGGAACACCAGUGGCGAAGGCGACCACCUGGACUAAUACUGACACUGAGGUGCGAAAGCGUGGGGAGCAAACA
This 427-nucleotide ribosomal RNA is filed under the name uncultured bacterium. RNAcentral's name for it is "partial 16S ribosomal RNA". It matches the Rfam family "Bacterial small subunit ribosomal RNA", at positions 355 to 774 of the family's 1533-position model. The record is from RNAcentral.